Molecule: long non-coding RNA, 303 nt
Organism: Anopheles bellator
Lineage: Eukaryota; Metazoa; Arthropoda; Insecta; Diptera; Culicidae
Exons: 2
Source: RefSeq, a predicted model, not a curated record
CAUCGCAAUCGCCUCCAAGUCUACUGUGACUGAGUACCGACUGCAAAAUUUUUGACAGCUCGUUUGUUUUGGUUCGAACACAGCUGGAAGUACGGGCAAAUGUGCUAGUGCAAAAAGUUUGUAGCAGUGCAGCGCCGAAAAACUUUCGCGGAAGAGCCGGGGACAAACUUUCAUCGGCAGCAGCACCAACGAGGGAUCGCAGUGAUCAAACGUUACGGAGAUUCGUGCAGGAAGAGGACGAAACAGGAAGAGCAAGAAUUGUGAAUUGGUGUAGUUGAAUUUAAUAAAAUAGUUAAUAUCGUA